This 465-nucleotide ribosomal RNA is filed under the name Vreelandella stevensii. RNAcentral describes it as "partial 16S ribosomal RNA". It matches the Rfam family "Bacterial small subunit ribosomal RNA", at positions 338 to 795 of the family's 1533-position model. The record is from RNAcentral. Lineage: Bacteria; Pseudomonadati; Pseudomonadota; Gammaproteobacteria; Oceanospirillales; Halomonadaceae.
CCUACGGGCGGCAGCAGUGGGGAAUAUUGGACAAUGGGCGAAAGCCUGAUCCAGCCAUGCCGCGUGUGUGAAGAAGGCCUUCGGGUUGUAAAGCACUUUCAGUGGGGAAGAAAGCCUUGGGGCUAAUACCCUCGAGGAAGGACAUCACCCACAGAAGAAGCACCGGCUAACUCCGUGCCAGCAGCCGCGGUAAUACGGAGGGUGCGAGCGUUAAUCGGAAUUACUGGGCGUAAAGCGCGCGUAGGCGGUCUGAUAAGCCGGUUGUGAAAGCCCCGGGCUCAACCUGGGAACGGCAUCCGGAACUGUCAGGCUAGAGUGCAGGAGAGGAAGGUAGAAUUCCCGGUGUAGCGGUGAAAUGCGUAGAGAUCGGGAGGAAUACCAGUGGCGAAGGCGGCCUUCUGGACUGACACUGACGCUGAGGUGCGAAAGCGUGGGUAGCAAACAGGAUUAGAUACCCGAGCAGUC